UGCAGUGUCCAUGACGAUCCUCAGUCUGUCA
RNAcentral lists this non-coding RNA (31 nucleotides) under Homo sapiens (human). Lineage: Eukaryota; Metazoa; Chordata; Mammalia; Primates; Hominidae. The record is from RNAcentral.